This 726-nucleotide long non-coding RNA is filed under the name Homo sapiens (human). RNAcentral describes it as "HSALNT0019267". Lineage: Eukaryota; Metazoa; Chordata; Mammalia; Primates; Hominidae. The record is from RNAcentral.
CGCCAUUCUCCUGCCUCAGCCUCCCGAGUAGCUAGGACUGCUGAUCUCUGUAAGUCUUUAGAUUCCUGCAAAGUUCUGUGAUGGGUAUCUGAGAAUUCAGACAGCUUCUAGUUCAAGAAAUAUACCUGCAAAACAUUGAAGCAAUGAAUAAGAGUUCCUGUUUCUCCACAUCCUUGCCAGCAUUUGAUGUUGUCAGUGUUCUGGAUUUCAGCCACUCUAACAGCACCCCACAAAAAAAAGUCCUGGAGCCUGAACUAUGAUUAAAUGUAAUAUACUGCAUGCCAAUGAUUUUGAGCAUAAGAUGCAAUCAGUGUAUGAUAAGCUACCGAUCACCCCAAGGAAGCCACUGGCAGAAACAAGGAGAGAAGAAAGGCGUAACGAAUCAGUGAUGGAACAGGAAGGAAUCAACUGAGGGAAGCAAAGGGCUGCUGAGUCACAAGCAUGACAGGCAACUAGAAUCAGCCCGGGCUCCCCAGAGCUGCUGCUCAUCCUGAACACUGCGGGCUUGCUCAGAAUUUCCUGGCUGUCCUUUCAGACUUCGUGUGCAUCGUGACAAUACACCACUCUCACCUAACGGAAUCUAAGGAUGUCGCUACCCUGAAAUAGCCAAAUAUUCCAGUUGAAUCUAUUUGUUAAAGCUUAGUCAACCAGAUUUGUUUCUAAGGAGACACUGACAAUAAAAAUAAAAAUGAAAAACAGAAAAACAUUAUUUUCCCUGCAUAAAAG